AUUGAACGCUGGCGGCAUGCUUUACACAUGCAAGUCGAACGGCAGCACGGGAGCUUGCUCCUGGUGGCGAGUGGCGAACGGGUGAGUAAUGCAUCGGAACGUACCCAGUAGUGGGGGAUAGCCCGGCGAAAGCCGGAUUAAUAUCGCAUAUUUCCUGAGGGAGAAAGCGGGGGACCUUCGGGCCUCGCGCUACUGGAGCGGCUGAUGUCGGAUUAGCUAGUUGGUGAGGUAAAGGCUCACCAAGGCGACGAUCCGUAGCUGGUCUGAGAGGAUGAUCAGCCACACUGGGACUGAGACACGGCCCAGACUCCUACGGGAGGCAGCAGCGGGGAAUAUUGGACAAUGGGCGAAAGCCUGAUCCAGCAAUGCCGCGUGAGUGAUGAAGGCCUUAGGGUUGUAAAGCUCUUUUACCCGGGAUGAUAAUGACAGUACCGGGAGAAUAAGCUCCGGCUAACUCCGUGCCAGCAGCCGCGGUAAAGUG
This 481-nucleotide ribosomal RNA is filed under the name uncultured bacterium. Its description in RNAcentral is "bacterial SSU rRNA". It matches the Rfam family "Bacterial small subunit ribosomal RNA", at positions 30 to 527 of the family's 1533-position model. The record is from RNAcentral.